Molecule: ribosomal RNA, 403 nt
Filed under: uncultured bacterium
Lineage: Bacteria
Description: partial 16S ribosomal RNA
Rfam family: Bacterial small subunit ribosomal RNA
Source: RNAcentral
GACGAACGCUGGCGGCGUGCCUAAUACAUGCAAGUCGAACGCAGUGGGGACGGGUGAGUAACACGUGGGUAACCUCCCAUCAGAGGGGAUAACACUUGGAAACAGGUGCUAAACCGAUACUGAUGGAUGGACCCGCGGUGCAUUAGCUAGUUGGUGAGGUAACGGCUCACCAAGGCCACGAUGCAUAGCCGACCUAGAAGGGUGACUGGCCACACGGGUACUUGGACACGGCCCACACGCCUACGGGAGGAAGCAGUAGGGAAUCUUGGGCAAUGGACGAAACUCUGACCGACAAACUCCGCGUGAGUGAAGAAGGUUUUCGGAUCGUAAACCUCUGUUGUUAGAGAAGCGGUAUCUAACCAGAAAGCCACGGCUAACUACGUGCCAGCAGCCGCGGUAAUUC